UUACACUGAUGUAAUAGAGCAAAAUUUACCCCAGUGACUUCUGAGUCUUCUACCAAUUGCAUAAGUUUGACAUCAGCUAAAAUAACACAGUCUGGACACAACUUAAUGUCAGGUUUUUCAUUGUAAAACAUCACUGAAGCUAUACUUGUCUAGCACUCCAGGCAGCUGGCAUCUUCAAGGAAUGGGUUUAGUUAAUGGAAAAGGUUUUGCUUGAAGUUUGCCAGCGAGAGAUCAUCGAGUUCUAGACAACACAUACUAAGUUCAUCUGAACCUUCCAUCUUAAGAAUCUGUGGAGCAAACACAUAAAUUUUCUCCUUAAAAUUUCCUUCAUUCCCUUGAUGGCUGACAGCAACAUUGCCGCUGAAAUUGUUGUUGAGUGCUCCUGUUCCUUGGCACAAGGAGAAUGGGAAUAGUAACUCCCAAUUAGCUGAGGUGGCUAAGAAAAUCAUCAUAUAUUCUGAAUGAUGAAAGAUCACAGAAGGAGGUCCACUAAUGGAUGACAGGUGCAGCAGUGAAUGGCAUCUAAAGAGUGCAAGCCAAAAUCUAAGACAUCUCUGGAUAUCAUCAUUCAUUUUAAACAGCACGAGGUCAAAAAGAAAAGUGAGACCUAUGGUUUAGAAGGUGUUGAAAAUGACCUCUUUUUUAACCUCACUGAUUAUUCUUCUUUAAAUAAAGAUAUUGAAAAUCAGUUGCAAGUAGAAAAUAAAAUGUUAGACUAGGAUUCCUAAAGCUUGGCAUAAUGGGAGCACUGAGGCACAGAGAAUCUUAACAGCUUCUAAAUUCUAAUUACUCUAGAAGAUUUCUGGGAAUUCUGUUCUG
Molecule: long non-coding RNA, 819 nt
Organism: Mauremys reevesii (Reeves's turtle)
Lineage: Eukaryota; Metazoa; Chordata; Testudines; Geoemydidae
Exons: 3
Source: RefSeq, a predicted model, not a curated record